RNAcentral lists this ribosomal RNA (896 nucleotides) under uncultured archaeon. RNAcentral's name for it is "bacterial SSU rRNA". It matches the Rfam family "Archaeal small subunit ribosomal RNA", at positions 21 to 904 of the family's 1478-position model. The record is from RNAcentral.
CCCGACUGCUAUUUGGGUGAGGAUAAGCCAUGCGAGUUGAAUGGGAUACCUAAAGUUCCCAUAGCAAACUGCUCAGUAACACAUGAUCAACUUGCCCUAUAGAGAAAAAUAACCUCGGGAAACUGAGGAUAAUGUUUCAUAACUGAAUUGGCUUGAAAAGUUUUUCAGUGAAAGGGAUAAAACAAAUGGUUUUUAUCUGCUAUAGGAUAGGAUCGUGUUCGAUUAUGGUUGUUGGUGAGAUAAUGGCUCACCAAGCCGAUAAUCGAUAGGGGCCGUGAGAGCGGGAGCCCCGAGAUGGGUACUGAGACAACGACCCAGGCCUUACGAGGCGCAGCAGGCGCGGAACCUCCGCAAUACACGAAAGUGUGACGGGGUUACCCAAAGUGUUCAAUUUGAACUGUGGUAGGUGAGUAAUGUCCCCUACUAGAAAGGAGAGGGCAAGGCUGGUGCCAGCCGCCGCGGUAAAACCAGCUCUUCAAAGUGGUCGGGAUAAUAUUGGGCUUAAAGUGUCCGUAGCCGGUUUUAGUAAGUUCCUGGUAAAAUCGGGUAGCUUAACUAUCUGCAUGCUAGGAAUACUGCUAUACUAGAGGGCGGGAGAGGUCUGAGGUACUACAGGGGUAGGGGUGAAAUCUUAUAAUCCUUGUAGGACCACCAGUGGCGAAGGCGUCAGACUGGAACGCGCCUGACGGUGAGGGACGAAAGCCAGGGGAGCGAACCGGAUUAGAUACCCGGGUAGUCCUGGCCGUAAACGAUGCAUACUAGGUGAGGGUACGGCCAUGAGCCGUAUCAGUGCCGUAGGGAAACCGUUAAGUGUGCCGCCUGGGAAGUACGGUCGCAAGGCUAAAACUUAAAGGAAUUGGCGGGGGAGCACCACAAGGGGUGGAGCCUGCGGUUCA